Molecule: long non-coding RNA, 565 nt
Organism: Thalassophryne amazonica
Lineage: Eukaryota; Metazoa; Chordata; Actinopteri; Batrachoidiformes; Batrachoididae
Exons: 3
Source: RefSeq, a predicted model, not a curated record
AAAGAUAAAUGAAAAACCAAAAGGCAAAAAGUAUUUGUCUGUUCUGAGUGUGGUCAAAGAUUUGGACAAAAGAGCACUCUCAAAAGACACAUGAUCAUUCAUACAGGACAGAAAGCAUUUGUCUGUUCUGUUUGUGAUCAAAGAUUUCGACGAAAGAGCCACCUGAACAGACACAUGGUAAUUCAUACAGGGAAAAAGCAACAUAUUUGUUCUCAGUGCGGUCGAAGAUUUGCACAAAAGAGCAACCUGCACACACACAUGGUAAUUCAUACAGGCCAAAAAGCAUUUGUCUGUUCUGAGUGUGGUAAAAGAUUUGGAGUACAGAGCAACCUGAACACACACAUGAUAAUUCAUGCAGGAGAAAAAGCAUUUGUCUGUUCUGACUGUGGCCAAGGUUUUGGACUAAAGAGCACGCUGAACACACACAUGACUCAUACAGGGAAAAAACCAUUUGGGUGUUCUGAGUGUGGUCAAAGAUUUGGACAAAAGAGCAACCUGAAAAAACACAUAAUUCAUACAGGGGAAAAACCAUUUGGCUGUUCUGAAUGUGGUAAAAGAUUUGGAC